AAUCUGUGUUUUCAGUGACGCUUGAAGGUGAAACUCUCCCUUGUAACUAGAGAGUUACAGAUCCUUAGAGAGGCGCUUCAGUGGUUUCAUUCAGCGGUUACUGCAAAAGCUGUCCAGGUAAGUCCCAUGACAGCCUCACAGGGUCCUUUGAAGGAUCAAUCAGUCCACAGGAUCAGAGACUACUUUGCCCUCAGCAUUUUCAGAAUUUCAGCGACAGGGCAUAAUACAUUAUUUGAUUAUCUUAGCUUAGUAUAACAAAAUCCCAAGCUCUUCAAUUCCUAAUAAUAUGGGGUUUUUGUUUUUGCAUUUUUUUUUUGUGGUGAUUAUUACUUCAUAGCAAACUUCUCUCUGCUGGUGUUUUGCUGUUUUGCUUAUCUCCACUGGGGCUGGGUUAUAAUAGCUUGGAGAUGUUUGUUUCCUGUUUGUGGAAUGUCUGACUUUCCAGCUCACUUUGCCCACAGGUUUGAGGCUGAUAGAUUCCAGGAAAAUAGGAAGAAUUCCAUUCAAAAUACCAUAAAAAUGGAGCAGGCUACAAGACUUUUGAGAUAACACUACUGUUAAAUUUUUUAAAAGAAAGACAUUCUGAACCUGAGAGUCUCUUCAGUUUCAUGAAGUGUCCCGGCAGGACGCUGAAGGCUACCGAGAACCCUGACUCCUAUUAAAUCAGAUGGUACCUUAUUGUUGCGUCAGAGCAUUUUUCUACUUUCUCUCCCUUAUGGAGCUAGCUCAAAGGUGUAUUUUAGCUCCUGUUUUCUGAAAGUCCAUGAAAGAGAGACACUAUCAGUUUGCAACAAUUAUCCUUUAUGUAGCACUUUUAUUUUAGUAUUCUCAUGGAGCAACAAAGCAGGGCACCUUACCUGCAGAAAGUCAACAAAAAGGAGGGGAGAUGCUAUUGUCUUUGAGCUGGGGAAGGGUUCUCUGUUGACAAGUUAGACUCCAAAAAAUUUGAGCCCCGGAUUGAGGUAGACUAAGGAACCAUAGUCUGUCUUGUGCCAUAUAAGCACAAAGAAUUUUACAAGAACAAUUCAUAAUAAGCUUUGUUAAACUAAAAUUUUAUCUUUUUGUUAUGA
RNAcentral lists this long non-coding RNA (1070 nucleotides) under Homo sapiens (human). RNAcentral describes it as "non-protein coding lnc-NYAP2-5:3". The record is from RNAcentral. Lineage: Eukaryota; Metazoa; Chordata; Mammalia; Primates; Hominidae.